Molecule: long non-coding RNA, 3970 nt
Organism: Aethalodelphis obliquidens (Pacific white-sided dolphin)
Lineage: Eukaryota; Metazoa; Chordata; Mammalia; Artiodactyla; Delphinidae
Exons: 2
Source: RefSeq, a predicted model, not a curated record
UCCUAACAAGUCUCCUUCCUUCCACCCUUGCCUCCAUAAUCUAUUCUCACCAAAGCAGCCAGAAUGGUCCUUUUAAAAUGUAAAUCAGAUCAUGUCAUUCCUCUGUUCAAAACCCUCCCCAAACUCCCAACUUCAUACCAUAAUCCAAAAUCCUUAAUAUGGCCUACAAAGCCCUAUAUAAUCUCUUCCCUGAUACCUCUCUGAUUUCACCUCCUACUAUUCUUGAUCACUCAGCUCCAGCUAAACUGGCCUCCUUGCUAUUCUCCCAACUCAUCAAUUAUGCUCUCACCCCCAGGUUUUUAUACUUGCUGUUCCCUCUGCUUGGAACCCUCUUCUCCCAGAUGUACACAUAGCUUGCUCACUCCCUUCAGGUCUCUCUUCUCAAAUAUCACCUUAUCAGAGAAACCUUCCCUGUCAACACUAUAUAAGACAGCUUAUACACUCUCACCAUUCUCUGUCUCUUUACCCUGUGUUGUUUUUCUUUUUAGCAUUUAUCAAUUAUAUUAUUUGUUUAUUAUCUGUCUCCGCAUCCCAUUCUCCAGAAUAUAAGCUCCAGGCCAUCAGGGCCUUUGCUAAUUAUGUCUUUGCCUAUAAUAGUGCAUGGCACAUAGUAAAUACAGUAGACUGUGGGUUCCUUAAUGUAUAAGAUUGAAAGUAAGAACAAAAAGCCUCCAUAGUUAGUCAAAACCCUGUACUCUGUAUAAUCAAGACACCCAGCAAACGUUUAAUGAUUUUUUUUUUACAUGCAUACACACUUCUUCUGGCCAAUUAUUAUUGGCCAGAGCCUCAUAUCAUGAAUCUUAGAAUUGUUUAGUCCCCCAAAGGAAGGAAAAAUCAGUUGUAAGUGGAAAGUUCAGCCUCUGAUAUUGAAAGCAUCAACACUUAAAAAUUAAGGCAAAUGAUAUUUUACAAUUCAGUUCAAAACUUGAUCCAUUUUAAGGCUUCAACUAUUGUACCAGAAGCUCCUUCUUCCUCUUAUGUUUUCUAUCACCACCUAUAGCUUGUUUCCCUCUCGUACCUUCUCUAAAGAGAGAAAGACACUGAGCUUGCAUUAAUGAAGGCUCUGAGUUUGAACCCCAAAAGUCCAGAAACGGAAAGUGAUUUUUUUUUACAAAUUUCUAGAGCCAAUUAAACUCAACCACAAAUGAUAUCAAUCUUGAGCUACUUGUAAAGAUUUUAAGUGCUGCCAUGUAUGUCAUUCCACAUGAAUCACAAGACUUCAUCAUCUAUGUAGCAUAGAUAUUAUUGAAGACUGUGCUCUAAAUUAUAAUUUGAGACCCUUUAGUUCAGUUAAAAUGAUUAUGUAUUUCAUUAAAUUAGGGAGUAAAGCAGGUUGGUGACUUAAAAAAUGCCUAAAAGUAAUAAGCACUCCCAAAGCCUGCAGUGUCCAAUUGCUCAAUUUCCAAAGCUUUAGGUAAAUACCAGGAUCUUCAUUAAUAUAGGCUUUCCCAAGAUACUCCUUACCAAGAAUCUCUAAUAAAAGCAAUCCAUUUUUUCCUUUGGUGCUAAAGUGGCCAGGCUCAGACAAAAACAAAAAAACAAAAAAACACCACCAAAAGAAUUACAUAAAGGGAUUUUUGGAUAGGACUUACAGACACAAAAAUCAAUAAGCAACUUCAGAAUAUAAAAAUCAGUAAACCUUCAGGUGAGUUGACACAGAAUGUAGAACACCAGAAAUAUAACUGAAAAUUGGCUCCCAGUUCUCACACACUCCAUCGCUGGUAAAUACAUAGCAGAGGAUAGGAAGCAUAUUUAAAUCAUCCCUUCAGUGAUCUUCAACAGCUUUACAAACAAGUACUAGACUGCUAUCUCCAUUUUACAGAAAGUUAUUUCUAUUAUUAGGAAGAAGUUAAGGUGCAGGGAAGUCAAGAGCCAAAUCCACAUAGAGGUUUAUGCUGGUAAUGGGGGUUAAAAUUACGUGCAGGUAUACUGAAGUCACAUGUGUGGUUAAUUUUAUCAAACAACCUGACUCUCUGGGAACACUGAGUUAGGGCAGAAGAGAGUACUAAAUAAAUGUCUUUAUUCUCACAAUAACUCCUCCAUUUUAACUACCAUCUUCUCUGUCUCACCCUCUCUCACAAACUAACUGCACAUUUCCACUGUCAAAAGCCACAUUAAAUUCGAGCAAAAGACCACAAUCACCUAGUUAAUCUCUAGUACAACCACUGAUUAGAGGAUGCUCUUGAGACCCCCAGCUCUGGCUCUCCACUAUAAGUGGAUGUGGGUACAUGAGCCCUAUGGGGUUUGGGAAAAGAGAGAGCUCAAACAAUGUACUUGUCAGCACUUUAAACAAAAAACCCAUUCAAUUAGAAUGGCACCAUGUUCCUUUUGCCCUUUCUCCUUAGGAACUAAAUUAAACAGAUUACAGACAGUGGCAAGAGCUGGCCUUAGAACAGUCUCCCCCUUAUUUGUUAUUUUUAGCAAUUUAGUCCGACAACGCCUGACAACUAAACAUGCCUAGAAUAGCUAAAGGGAGGGGGGAUUAUCAGAUACUACCAGCAAAAAAACACUAGUCAUCACUUCCUCCAACCCUAAGAAAGAAUCAUUUUCCAUGUCUUUAUAGCAUCACAGAGUUUGAGCUUUUAGAGUCUCAUAUAAAAACACAGCACAUAUAAAACAUCAGUGGAAACUGAUAAUGCUUCCUGACCUGGAGUAUUGUUCCACCCUCAUGUGUUUUCUUAAAAACAAAAGCAUAAUAAAAUGAACUAAAUUGUUUUACACAAAAGUUAGGACUACAAUGCAUGUGUGUCCAUUUUGGAAAAAUUCCAGCACAAGAUAAUUAUGUACCCAAAAGAAUGGCCUCAUGAAUAGUGAUGGAAUUCAUAUAUUUUUAUUAUACUGGUGGCAGGUGAGAGAUUUGUUUCAAAACAAGACAAAGUGAGGUGGGAGAAAAUCAUAAUUAGCAAGACAGCAUCAACCAUAGACACUAUUUUUAAAUGAAAUAAUGUAGUAAAAAUUCUUUGAAAAAUGAAUAAAAUUGUAAAAUAAAAAUGGUAAAGUCCUAAGCAGUAUAACUAUCUGCACCAGCAGAUUAACUAAAAUUCAUUAAAACCCAUUUUAUAACAUUUACCACUUAUAAUAAAAGUCCAUGUACACUCAAAGAAUUUAAUAAUUUUUCAAUAUUUUCUGAAUUUUUUUUGCCACUAAGUAUCAUGUAUUUUACAUGACACUAUAGGAUAAAGCACUACAAAUGAUAAAAUGAUGUCUCCCUGAGUAUGUUACUUUAUGCAUGUAGAGUUAAUAAGCUAUUACACAGCUCUAUCCAAAAGUAUCUCUAAAACAGGUGAUACCUAAUACAAACUACCUUUAAGCCAUCACACAAACAUCUCUGUGAUUUCAGUUAUUUAAGCAACUACUACAAAGAUAUCAAACAAUACGCUGUCACCUCGUAUUACAUUUUAGCUGGCAAAGCUGUAGGCAGACAACUAGUUUUAUUUUACCUGCAAAAAUAGGAUUACAAUUAAUAAAUUAAGGUAAUGAUCUAAACAGAAAGGAAACCGGGGUUUUUUUGUUUUGGUUUGCCUCCCUCCAUCUUUUCAUUUUACGGGGACAUUUUUGCUCCUAAAGUGGCAAUUCAGAAAAAGACCAAGGUUAUAAUGAUAAACUUAAUAGAAGUGACCCUAGAUAUCUUCUAAUCCAACCCUCUUGUUUUACAGAUGAGGACACUGAGGCUUAGAGUACAGCAAGGGCUAGAAUCCAGAACUCCUAACUCAACAGAAGCUGAUUAUGAAUUGCCUCCUUGGAUUGAAGAAUAAACCUACAAAGCACAAAAAAGUUGAAGAUUAAGCCACGUGACUACUAUGUUCAUAAAAAUCAACAACUAUAUGCCACAAAUAUUAAACUAAGAAAACUAGAAGGAUGAUCUCCAAUUGAGAACAAAUAAAAUGUAUUACUAUGUUAUGACAAACUCAGGAAACCUCCACAGGUUGAAGCCUUCUUGGCUGAGAAGGAAUAAAAGCUUAAAAGUAAA